UCCCACGUGGUCUAGAGGUUAGGACACCUGGCUCUAACCUAGAAACCCCUGGUUCAAUUCUCGGUGUGGGAA
This is a non-coding RNA of Trichonephila clavata, 72 nucleotides long. NCBI's taxonomy places the organism in Eukaryota, Metazoa, Arthropoda, Arachnida, Araneae, Nephilidae. The record is from the annotation of a GenBank genome assembly.